UAGGAGAUAGUAUAAUAGGAAGUACCGGGAGUUUUGAUCUCUCGGGUACAGGUUCAAGCCCUGUUUUUCUAG
This 72-nucleotide transfer RNA is filed under the name Squaliolus aliae (smalleye pygmy shark). Its description in RNAcentral is "tRNA-Gln". It matches the Rfam family "tRNA". Rfam says of the family: Transfer RNA (tRNA) molecules are approximately 80 nucleotides in length. Lineage: Eukaryota; Metazoa; Chordata; Chondrichthyes; Squaliformes; Dalatiidae. The record is from RNAcentral.